AUCGCUUCUCGGCCUUUUGGCUAAGAUCAAGUGUAGUAUCUGUUCUUAUCAGUUUAAUAUCUGAUACGUCCUCUAUCCGAGGACAAUAUAUUAAAUGGAUUUUUGGAGCUAGGAGUUGGAAUAGGAGCUUGCUCCGUCCACUCCAAAAAAAAAAAAACCGCAGAGUAGACCAGGACUGACAACCUCUU
This 188-nucleotide small nuclear RNA is filed under the name Erinaceus europaeus (western European hedgehog). Its description in RNAcentral is "U2 spliceosomal RNA (ENSEEUG00000021246.1)". The stretch from base 1 to 162 matches the Rfam family "U2 spliceosomal RNA". Rfam says of the family: U2 is a small nuclear RNA (snRNA) component of the spliceosome (involved in pre-mRNA splicing). Complementary binding between U2 snRNA (in an area lying towards the 5' end but 3' to hairpin I) and the branchpoint sequence (BPS) of the intron results the bulging out of an unpaired adenosine, on the BPS, which initiates a nucleophilic attack at the intronic 5' splice site, thus starting the first of two transesterification reactions that mediate splicing. The record is from RNAcentral. Lineage: Eukaryota; Metazoa; Chordata; Mammalia; Eulipotyphla; Erinaceidae.